CAGUAAAGACCCAUGGAAAUGUUCUUGCUGCUGACGCUGUUUGGAACACAUCUGCAUCACAAUAGCCUUCUCGCCUUCCACAGUGCAGGAUCCGCCGAGCUUGCAGCUGCGAGGGGAGCAUUUCAAAGGGGCCAUUCUCAUUAUACAGAGCCUUCUCUUUCUUUGAACUUCAAAGCAGAAUGAGGAGACCUUAAAUGAUAUGGGGUUUCUACCACGGGUGAGCAUUUGCCUUGAAAGGAAUGAGCUGGUUGAGAGAUGAGGAAGCUGAAGGAAGGAAUAUCUUUCCAGAUCUCAGAUUCUAGGAAUACAGCACUAGGAUGCCCAGCCACGUAGUCAGGGAGUACAGCAACACGAGUGGUCCAGACCUACAGAGCUCUUGCCACUAGAGAAGCAUUUCCCUCCGUGGAGUAGCUCGAAGCGGUACUUACAUGGAGCAGCUCUGGAUUCAACAUACAGUUUGGAGCUGAGCUCAGCCUAGAAAAGCCAACCCUCAGCCAACCUUCAGACUUCUGAGCAAGCAAAAACUAUUGUUUGAAGUUCCAUAGUUUUGGGGUGGACAUUAAUGCAUUAUUGUGUCAACAGCUAAUACUGCAUAGAUAUUCUGUAUGUGUUAGGUACCGUUAGAAUCCAGAAGGAGUGAUAAUCAAUCUUGUUUUCAGGACAAGGGUAAGAAAGAUUUGAGAGGAAGUAAUUACUGAGUCAGUCUUUUUGAAAACUAAAUAAAAGAUUACCUGGUCGAUAAGAUGGGGAGAGUAUUUGGGCAAAAGAAAUUAUACGAGCGGAGGGCUUCAUGAAAGUGCGAGCAGCAGCUGGGAAGGCGCAAAUAGCUCAUUGGGCAGAAAGUAUGUGGAGAGCAACUUAAAACGAGUUUUUAAAAGAGAGUAAUUACACCUUGCGUUCGCAAAGAACGCUUCAGCUUAAUGAACAUUUUUGCGCAUGUUCUCUUGUGCAGUGCUCAUGAUAUCCCUGAGGCAACGCUCUGUAGAGUCCGGGAGAACCUUGGUUAGAAUCUGAGUGUUGCGGCCUUGGGAAAGUCCGUCUGAACAUCUCUCAGCCUCAGCUUUCUCCUCCAUAGAAUGGUGUUACUCUCGAGAUCAAAAGAGAUGAAGUAUGUACAGUGCCUGGUGUGCAAUAGGUGUUUAAAGUCUACCUGUGCCCACCCCAUUUCACCUCUGAAGAAACAGAGACUCAGGUCAAGCAACUUUUCCAUAUGUCACAUUGCUAAGAAGUAGCAGGUUUGGGGCCAUGAUUCACGUUUUAGGGCUCUCCCAUUGAUGCCACGGCUUUGUUUGACAACACUGAGAGAAGAGGUCAAACUUGGGGAUGGGUCGGUGGAAAUAUGAAGAAAUCAUCUUUUUGCUGUUUUUUGUUCCCCUUCAGCCAUCCUGGAAGCAGUGCCCCAGGGAAAUGCGGAAUCUAGACCACAUGGAGCAUUAGCACCAAUCAAUUGCCAAGAAGUGAAAAGCAGGAGGGGAGUAUUUCGGUUGAUGAAGCCAAAAAAGUAGAAGUCACCCUCCAUUUCUGCCUUUUCCCUACCUCCACUUGCCAACCUCUCUCUCUCCUGUGGAUGGAUCUGUCUUGGAUCUGGCUGCUUCUCUCCAGCCGACCCCGUGCUACUCAGUCACUACCUUGGCCUACAAAGCCCCCUGUGAGGUCUCGCUCUUGUCUACUUCUCCAGUCUCGUCUCCUCUUUCACCACUCUGCUUUUUUGGAAUGCUUUGGCCACACGGCUUCCUUUCUGACAUUUGGUCAUACCAGUUCUUUCCCUCUUGAGGGCUCUUCUAUUUGCUCUCUGCGUGGGAUGAUUUUCCCAAGCUUUUCAUCUGUUAUCAAGGAAAUAAAUACGACAAAUGACAAUG
Non-coding RNA from Equus caballus (horse), 1859 nucleotides. Lineage: Eukaryota; Metazoa; Chordata; Mammalia; Perissodactyla; Equidae. The record is from RefSeq and is a predicted model, not a curated record.